CCUCCUGCAAACCACCUGCCUGUGGUGGAACAGUUGCUUCUGUGGAGGCACCUGAGUAGUUUUAAACCUGUGACUUGAUAAAAAUACAAGUGGAAGGCCAUAGAGGGAGGCAACAAGUACUGUAACGAACUGCCAAAUAUGUCACUGUUCACUACAAGAUCUGCUUAACUCACUUACCACCGCUCGGAGAUCUUCACCAUCUCCUGCCUGCAGGCAGAACAGAUGCUCCUAUUCCUCUCUUGUCCUUUCCCAGAGAGAUGCCUUCUAUGGUUUUGCACCAAUUUCUUAAAAAUAAUAAUGAACUUUACUGAACGAGGAGCCACACACUUAUUUCUAUUCUA
Corapipo altera (White-ruffed manakin) is the source of this 341-nucleotide long non-coding RNA. RefSeq lists it as uncharacterized. Lineage: Eukaryota; Metazoa; Chordata; Aves; Passeriformes; Pipridae. The transcript is spliced from 3 exons. The record is from RefSeq and is a predicted model, not a curated record.